Molecule: ribosomal RNA, 520 nt
Filed under: uncultured Scutellospora
Lineage: Eukaryota; Fungi; Glomeromycota; Glomeromycetes; Diversisporales; Gigasporaceae
Description: SSU rRNA
Rfam family: Eukaryotic small subunit ribosomal RNA
Source: RNAcentral
AGCAGCCGCGGUAAUUCCAGCUCCAAUAGCGUAUAUUAAAGUUGUUGCAGUUAAAAAGCUCGUAGUUGAAUUUCGGAGUUCUACCGUUGGUCAGGCUUUGUCUGUACUGACGUGUAGAAUUUCUACCUUCUGGGGAACCAUCAUGUUAUUAAUUUAGUGUGAUGGGAAACCAGGACCUUUACCUUGAAAAAAUUAGAGUGCUCAAAGCAGGCUUAUGUCUGAAUACAUUAGCAUGGAAUAAUAGAAUAGGACGGUGGUCCUGUUUUGUUGGUUUCUGAAUCACCGUAAUGAUUAAUAGGGAUAGUUGGGGGCAUUAGUAUUCAAUUGUCAGAGGUGAAAUUCUUGGAUUUAUUGAAGACUAACUUCUGCGAAAGCAUUUGCCAAGGAUGUUUUCAUUAAUCAAGAACGAAAGUUAGGGGAUCGAAGACGAUCAGAUACCGUCGUAGUCUUAACCAUAAACUAUGCCGACUAGGGAUCGGACGAUGUUAACUUUCUUGACUCGUUCGCGCCUUACGGGAAC